Meleagris gallopavo (turkey) is the source of this 259-nucleotide non-coding RNA. NCBI's taxonomy places the organism in Eukaryota, Metazoa, Chordata, Aves, Galliformes, Phasianidae. The record is from RefSeq and is a predicted model, not a curated record.
UCGGGGGCUUUGUGCUGGGGCUCGUCUGGCUGGCGCUGGGGCUCUUCCUCUUCCUGCGCAGUAAGAAAGUUUCAGGGCACCCCGAUCCACCCCCUCCAGGGAUCCCAAACUAGCAGCUGCCCCACGCCGCUGCUCCACCAGCGUGUCCUGCACUCCCCAGCCAGGAGCUGAGUUUCCCUUUGUGUUGUCACCGUGCUCCCUGCUGCCGCUGCAGAGCCUGCUCUGUCCCCUUCUCCAUAGGAACUCGCUGAGAUGUUGA